Molecule: ribosomal RNA, 119 nt
Organism: Scophthalmus maximus (turbot)
Lineage: Eukaryota; Metazoa; Chordata; Actinopteri; Pleuronectiformes; Scophthalmidae
Source: Ensembl
GCUUACGGCCACACCGCCUGGUUCACGCCCGAUCUCGUUUGAUCUCGGAAGCUAAGAUAGGGAGGGCCUGGUUAGUACUUGGAUGGGAGACCGCCUGGGAAUACCAGGUAUUGUAAGAU